CAGGGCUAAAUACGCUAAAAGCAUCAGACCCCAUAGGAUUUUGGAAGCUAAGCAGGGUCAGCCCUGGUUGGUACUUGGAUGGGAGACCGUGAAGGAAAACCAAAGGAAGAGCCUGGA
Anolis carolinensis (green anole) is the source of this 117-nucleotide non-coding RNA. NCBI's taxonomy places the organism in Eukaryota, Metazoa, Chordata, Lepidosauria, Squamata, Anolidae. The record is from Rfam.